Molecule: long non-coding RNA, 3167 nt
Filed under: Homo sapiens (human)
Lineage: Eukaryota; Metazoa; Chordata; Mammalia; Primates; Hominidae
Description: HSALNT0373153
Source: RNAcentral
AUGCGAGCGGUAAGAGUGCGGCGGGACUUGGAAAUCGAAUCUGUGCUCUGUGAGAGAUCCUAGGAAAGGAAACUGGGAGCCCGGGAGAACUAAAAUUCCCAAUUAAAAGUGAAUUUAAGUGAGUUUUCUCUUUUUAUUACAUAAUUCCUUACCAUAAACAGCUGUUGUAAAUGCGCAAAAUGCGGCAUUUGUUGACAGUACCUAGAGCCACUCAUUCAUUCGUUCAACAGUGUUUAUUGAGCAGCUGAGCUGGAAUGAGAGGCUAUGUUUGUCGUUUUUGACACCCCUCCCCUUUCUGGGCCAUCGCCUAAUUACCGUGGAGCAAACGGAAUGCAUGGUUGUAUUUCUAAAGGCACAAGCAGAAAUUUAUUGAAAAUUUGGAGCAGAAAUCUUUAAUGUACUUCUGACCACCCUUCCUUUUGUUGAGUAGGAUCCAAUGAUCAGCGUGAGAUGAUCAUUGAUUAAACUUGCUUGAGAUGGCUAGUCAAACGUCGAAACUUGCUUGAGAUGGCUAGUCAAACGUCGAAAAUCAAAGAAAAAGUAGGUAACUAGACUUUUACAAUUUUUUUUAAAGGGUAAAAAGACAUGAACCCUAGUCUGCCUUAAUGGCAAAGUAGCACUUAUUAGGUUCUCUGACAGAACCAAGGAAUAGGAAAAUCUUUUAUCAAAACUACGGAUAAAACUUAAAAAUAAUUUGAUACAAUGAUUUGGUCUUGCUGGAAUCAGUAAAUUAAAAUACGGAAGCAGAAUGAUAAAAUCAGGGGCAUUAAACAUUCCUAAUGACAUGCCAAGCUAUUUUAGAGACAGCGGCAAAAGCUUCUCUACAGGUGGGUUUGAUGUAACGCUCCGGCAGCAAGAAUCCGUAUGUGCCCGUAUCUCGAAGUUCAAUUGUAAACGAAUAUUUGAUGCCCAAAUCAUAGAUCCAAUCGUCCCCACCUCCAGGAGCUAGGUCUAAAAGAAGAAGAAAGAAAUUGUUGAAAUACAGACGUUUCAAAUUAAUUUACAAACUGGGAAUUGUUUGAUUUAAAUGUUUAUUUGUUUGUAUACCUUUAGAUUUUUUUCAGUUUUUAACUAAUAUAAACAACUUUACAAUGAGUACCCUUGUUUAUACAUAAUUGCUUCUUUGUCUCUUUAGAAUAUUCUUCCCUAGAAUAGAUUUGCUAGUCUAAGGCUCUGUACUUUUUGCAAUUACGGCAUGUUCCCAAAUGGACGUCAAAAGAACUGAAUUCAUUUAUACUUCCACAAGCAGGGUAUGAAUUUGCCCAUUUCCCCUUCCCAUACCAUCAAUAGGAAUUAUGAAUUCUGAUAAUUUUAUGGGCGAAAAAUAAUAUCCAACUGUCUUAAUUUAUGUUUUUUGAUUAUCAGUGAGUUGCACAUUUGUUUGGCAUAUUUAUUGGCUAUCUUUAUAUUUCCUAUCAAUUGUCCUUCCUCAUUUGUCUACUUGGUUCAUUUUAUCAAUUGCUUAUAAAAACGACAUUAGUGUUAUUAGCUUUGUUUGGCAUGUAGACCUUUUUUUCUCCUUUCAUUCAUUUCUCCUUUCACAAGAAUUUUUUCUCCUUACUGAGAUUUCAACUUGGUUUAUGCAGGGUUUUCAUAUGAAAAUAUAUGCUGUACCUGGAAUUUACUUUGGUGAAAGACAUGUUAAUAAUCCAAUUAAUUUUUUUCUAGGUAACUUGUUAGGUUUUCCAACCGCAUUAAUUGAAUAAUCUGACUUUUUUUGGGGGGGUGCUAAAUUGAGUCCAGGUUUAUGGCAAAGUCUGACCCAAAAUUUUAAUUUAUAAUUUUAGCAUCUAUCUAAUACAGUUUGGGAAGCAUCUCAUGAAAGCUACAAUUGCCAGAAGACUUGUUACAGUUUAAUGCAUGUUAACUAAAAUGUGUACAUAUUUUAGUGUUCAUGAUAAAUACAGUUUCGACCUUUUUUGAGAUGGAGUCUCACUCUGUCACCCAGGCUAGAGUGCAGUUGCACAAUCUCAGCUCAUUGCCACCCCCACCUCCCAGGUUCAAGUAAUUCUUAUGCAUUAGCCAACCAAGUAGCUGGCAUUACAGGCGCCUGCCACCAUGCCCAGCUAAUUUUUGUAUUUUUAGUAGAGACAGGGUUUCACCAUGUUGGCCAGUCUGGUCUCGAACUCCUGACCUCAAGUGAUCCUCCUGCCUCAGCCUCCCAAAGUGCUGGUAUUACAGGCAUGAGCCACAGCACCUGGCCUCUUUUUGUUUUUUUCUAAUCAUUAAAAAAAAAAAAAAAAGGAAAAACCUGGAUUUGGCCUUCAGGCUGUAGUUUUCUGAUGCCUGGUUACAGGUUUAUUUUAUGCUCCUCUUUUCCCAUCUCCCUUCAAACUUCAAAAGGGCAAAAUCAGUCUGUCCUCCCACUGUGUGUAGAUAGGAGUUACUCACUAAAUAUCUUUCAGCAAAAAUUAAUCAAAACUUUUUGUUAAGAGUUUGUCACAAGUUUUGUGUGUGUAAUAUAUAUUAAAGACAAUCAACUGUAAUGUGUUAUGAGCUAUACUCUUGGGAACAGGCUAACACUAAAAAACACUUGAUGCAAAUGGCAUGCCCUAGAUUAGUGUAGUGUACAACCUGCACAACCUUCCAUGGUGGCCCUGGGAAUCAUGCAAAAGUUUUAUGAACUUUUCUGCUUCACUCAACUAGUAUGAUGCCAAUUCUGUAAUUCCUACUUGAUUGUGAUAAAUAUGAUUUCUUAAAUAGGAUUUUGGCUUCUUUUUAGUAACUCAUUUAUUAAUAUAGCUUUGUUCAGCAUUGUCAUAGCUAUUAUGCUUCUGUUCCUAAUUAUUACAAUUCAGUUGUAUUACAUGUGACCCUAUUUAAUUCAGAAAAAUUAAAUACACAAAGAAAAACAGAUCACACAGAUUUCUUUAGUAGCUCAAAGUUCUCUAAGAUCAUAAGAAGAAAUACUUACAUAAGGUUUCUGAGCCAUGGCCAUGUGUAUACCUGGUAUUUUUACUAAUUUUCUCAAUAGCACGAACUGCUUCACUGGCUACUAGAGACUGGAAGCAACAAGAUAUAGAAUUUCAGUUAAUGUGCAGCUUUGAAACAUGACAAGUAGAAGUUUCUAAAAAAUAAUCAUACAUUAAUUGAAUCAAAGUAUACAGGUAGAAAAUCUAGAUUCAUCUAAAAGGCAAAUAAAUAAGGUAAACAAAUUAAUUUAAAAU